RNAcentral lists this ribosomal RNA (411 nucleotides) under Actinomycetes bacterium. RNAcentral describes it as "Actinobacteria bacterium partial 16S ribosomal RNA". It matches the Rfam family "Bacterial small subunit ribosomal RNA", at positions 355 to 776 of the family's 1533-position model. The record is from RNAcentral. Lineage: Bacteria; Bacillati; Actinomycetota; Actinomycetes.
UGGGGAAUAUUGCACAAUGGGCGCAAGCCUGAUGCAGCGACGCCGCGUGGGGGAUGACGGCCUUCGGGUUGUAAACUCCUUUCGCUAGGGACGAAGCUUUUUGUGACGGUACCUAGAUAAGAAGCACCGGCUAACUACGUGCCAGCAGCCGCGGUAAUACGUAGGGUGCGAGCGUUGUCCGGAAUUACUGGGCGUAAAGGGCUCGUAGGUGGUUUGUCGCGUCGUCUGUGAAAUUCCGGGGCUUAACUCCGGGCGUGCAGGCGAUACAGGCAUAACGUGAGUACUGUAGGGGUAACUGGAAUUCCUGGUGUAGCGGUGAAAUGCGCAGAUAUCAGGAGGAACACCGAUGGCGAAGGCAGGUUACUGGGCAGUUACUGACGCUGAGGAGCGAAAGCAUGGGUAGCGAACAGG